GAUGAACGCUGGCGGCGUGCCUAAUACAUGCAAGUCGAGCGAAAAGACGAGGAGCUUGCUCCUCUGACGUUAGCGGCGGACGGGUGAGUAACACGUGGAUAACCCACCUAUAAGACGGGGAUAACUUCGGGAAACCGGAGCAAAUACCGGAGAAUAUAUUGAAGCGCAUGGGGCAAUAGUGAGAGACGGUGUUGGUGUCAGUUAUAGAUGGAUCCGAGCUGCAUGAGCUGGUUGGUGAGGUAAAGGGUUUUGAAGGCGACGAUGCGUAUGCGAGCGGAGAGGCUGUUCGGCCACCCGGGAGCUGAGCCACGGUCCAGACUCCUGCGAGACGCCGCAGUAUGGAAUCGUCCGCAGUGGUGGAAAGCCUGACGCAGCAGCGCCGCGUGAGUUAUGAAGAUCCUCGGUUCGUAAAACUCGGUUAUUAGGUAAGAACAAAUUUGUAAGUAACUAUGCCCGUCUUGACGGUACCUAAUCAGAAAGCCACGGCUAACUACGUG
RNAcentral lists this ribosomal RNA (497 nucleotides) under uncultured bacterium. Its description in RNAcentral is "partial 16S ribosomal RNA". It matches the Rfam family "Bacterial small subunit ribosomal RNA", at positions 28 to 507 of the family's 1533-position model. The record is from RNAcentral.